This 666-nucleotide ribosomal RNA is filed under the name uncultured bacterium. RNAcentral's name for it is "bacterial SSU rRNA". It matches the Rfam family "Bacterial small subunit ribosomal RNA", at positions 1 to 719 of the family's 1533-position model. The record is from RNAcentral.
UAGAGUUUGAUCAUGGCUCAGAACGAACGCUGGCGGCAGGCCUAACACAUGCAAGUCGAGCGCCCUGCUUGCAGGGAGCGGCGGACGGGUGAGUAACGCGUGGGAACGUGCCCUUUAGUUCAGAAUAGCCACUGGAAACGGUGAGUAAUACUGGAUACGCCCUUCGGGGGAAAGAUUUAUCGCUAAAGGAUCGGCCCGCGUUGGAUUAGCUAGUUGGUGGGGUAAAGGCCUACCAAGGCGACGAUCUAUAGCUGGUCUGAGAGGAUGAUCAGCCACACUGGGACUGAGACACGGCCCAGACUCCUACGGGAGGCAGCAGUGGGGAAUAUUGGACAAUGGGGGCAACCCUGAUCCAGCCAUGCCGCGUGAGUGAAGAAGGCCCUAGGGUUGUAAAGCUCUUUCAGAUGUGAGGAUGAUGGCAGUAGCAUCAGAAGAAGCACCGGCUAACUUCGUGCCAGCAGCCGCGGUAAUACGAAGGGUGCUAGCGUUGUUCGGAAUUACUGGGCGUAAAGGGCGUGUAGGCGGAUGACCAAGCUAGGGGUGAAAGCCCAGGGCCCAACCCUGGAACUGCCUUUAGAACUGAUUGUCUAGAAUCCGUAAGGGGAGUGUGGAAUUCCUAGUGUAGAGGUGAAAUUCGUAGAUAUUAGGAAGAACACCAGUGGCGAA